RNAcentral lists this ribosomal RNA (497 nucleotides) under uncultured bacterium. Its description in RNAcentral is "partial 16S ribosomal RNA". It matches the Rfam family "Bacterial small subunit ribosomal RNA", at positions 28 to 507 of the family's 1533-position model. The record is from RNAcentral.
GAUGAACGCUGGCGGCGUGCCUAAUACAUGCAAGUCGAGCGAACAGACGAGGAGCUUGCUCCUCUGACGUUAGCGGCGGACGGGUGAGUAACACGUGUAUAACCUACCUAUAAGACUGGUAUAACUUCGGGAAACCGGAGCUAAUACCGGAUAAUAUAUUGAACCGCAUGGUUCAAUAGUGAAAGACGGUUUUGCUGUCACUUAUAGAUGGAUCCGCGCCGCAUUAGCUAGUUGGUAAGGUAACGGCUUACCAAGGCGACGAUGCGUAGCCGACCUGAGAGGGUGAUCGGCCACACUGGAACUGAGACACGGUCCAGACUACUACGGGAGGCAGCAGUAGGGAAUCUUCCGCAAUGGGCGAAAGCCUGACGGAGCAACGACGAGUGAGUGAUGAAGGUCUUCGGAUCGUAAAACUCUGUUAUUAGGGAAGAACAAAUGUGUAAGUAACUAUGCACGUCUUGACGGUACCUAAUCAGAAAGCCACGGCUAACUACGUG